UGCUUGGGGAACUGCCCAGUCGAGGGGACGAACUAUUGGAACGAUAGCUAAUACCGCAUACGCCCUACGGGGAAAGGGAGGGAGUUCUUCGGAACCUUUCGCGAUUGGAUGUACCCAAGUGGGAUUAGCUAGUUGGUGAGGUAAUGGCUCACCAAGGCAACGAUCCCUAGCUGGUUUGAGAGGAUGAUCAGCCACACUGGAACUGAGACACGGUCCAGACUCCUACGGGAGGCAGCAGUGGGGAAUAUUGCACAAUGGAGGAAACUCUGAUGCAGCCAUGCCGCGUGUAAUGAAGAAGGC
Molecule: ribosomal RNA, 300 nt
Filed under: uncultured Alteromonadales bacterium
Lineage: Bacteria; Pseudomonadati; Pseudomonadota; Gammaproteobacteria; Alteromonadales
Description: bacterial SSU rRNA
Rfam family: Bacterial small subunit ribosomal RNA
Source: RNAcentral